AUCUUCUUAGUAUUAAAUAGUACAAGUGACUUCCACUCACACGGUCUCGGUUCAAGCCCGAGAGAAGAUA
This 70-nucleotide transfer RNA is filed under the name Oreolalax rhodostigmatus (red-spotted toothed toad). RNAcentral's name for it is "tRNA-Gly". It matches the Rfam family "tRNA". From Rfam's summary of the family: Transfer RNA (tRNA) molecules are approximately 80 nucleotides in length. Their secondary structure includes four short double-helical elements and three loops (D, anti-codon, and T loops). Lineage: Eukaryota; Metazoa; Chordata; Amphibia; Anura; Megophryidae. The record is from RNAcentral.